Molecule: ribosomal RNA, 253 nt
Filed under: uncultured bacterium
Lineage: Bacteria
Description: partial 16S ribosomal RNA
Rfam family: Bacterial small subunit ribosomal RNA
Source: RNAcentral
UACGAAGGGGGCAAGCGUUGUUCGGAUUUACUGGGCGUAAAGCGUACGUAGGCGGUUUGUUAAGUCUGGGGUGAAAUCCCGGGGCUCAACCUCGGAACUGCCUUUGAUACUGGUGAUCUUGAGUCCGGGAGAGGUGAGUGGAACUCCUAGUGUAGAGGUGAAAUUCGUAGAUAUUAGGAAGAACACCAGUGGCGAAGGCGGCUCACUGGCCCGGAACUGACGCUGAGGUACGAAAGCGUGGGGAGCAAACAGG